This 432-nucleotide ribosomal RNA is filed under the name uncultured bacterium. Its description in RNAcentral is "partial 16S ribosomal RNA". It matches the Rfam family "Bacterial small subunit ribosomal RNA", at positions 338 to 795 of the family's 1533-position model. The record is from RNAcentral.
CCUACGGGAGGCUGCAGUCGAGAAUCUUCGGCAAUGGGCGAAAGCCUGACCGAGCGACGCCGCGUGUGGGAUGAAGGCCCUUGGGUUGUAAACCACUGUCAGAGGGGAUGUGUUAAAGCCAGAGGAAGCACGGGCUAAGUUCGUGCCAGCAGCCGCGGUAAGACGAACUGUGCAAACGUUAUUCGGAAUCACUGGGCUUAAAGGGUGCGUAGGCGGUCUUGUAAGUAGGGUGUGAAAGCCCCCGGCUCAACCGGGGAACUGCGUCCUAAACUGCGAGGCUUGAGUGAGGUAGGGGUGUGUGGAACUUCCAGUGGAGCGGUGAAAUGUGUUGAUAUUGGAAGGAACGCCGGUGGCGAAAGCGACACACUGGACCUUUCUGACGCUGAGGCACGAAAGCCAGGGGAGCAAACGGGAUUAGAUACCCUUGUAGUC